RNAcentral lists this ribosomal RNA (279 nucleotides) under uncultured bacterium. RNAcentral describes it as "partial 16S ribosomal RNA". It matches the Rfam family "Bacterial small subunit ribosomal RNA", at positions 506 to 784 of the family's 1533-position model. The record is from RNAcentral.
UGCCAGCCGCCGCGGUAAUACGGAGGGUGCAAGCGUUGUUCGGAAUUAUUGGGCGUAAAGCGCACGUAGGCGGAUUAGUAAGUUAGGGGUGAAAUCCCGGGGCUCAACCCCGGAACUGCCUCUAAUACUGCUAGUCUUGAGUUCGAGAGAGGUGAGUGGAACUCCUAGUGGAGCGGUGAAAUGCGUUGAUAUUAGGAGGAACGCCGGUGGCGAAAGCGACUCUCUGGUCUGAUACUGACGCUGAGGUGCGAAAGCUAGGGGAGCAAACGGGAUUAGAUA